RNAcentral lists this ribosomal RNA (207 nucleotides) under uncultured bacterium. RNAcentral describes it as "partial 16S ribosomal RNA". It matches the Rfam family "Bacterial small subunit ribosomal RNA", at positions 568 to 774 of the family's 1533-position model. The record is from RNAcentral.
CGUGUAGGCGGAUUGAUAAGUUUGAAGUGAAAUCCUAUAGCUUAACUAUAGAAUUGCUUUGAAAACUGUUAAUCUAGAAUGUGGGAGAGGUAGAUGGAAUUUCUGGUGUAGGGGUAAAAUCCGUAGAGAUCAGAAGGAAUACCGAUUGCGAAGGCGAUCUACUGGAACAUUAUUGACGCUGAGAUGCGAAAGCGUGGGGAGCAAACA